Non-coding RNA from Oryctolagus cuniculus (rabbit), 1422 nucleotides. The record is from RefSeq and is a predicted model, not a curated record. NCBI's taxonomy places the organism in Eukaryota, Metazoa, Chordata, Mammalia, Lagomorpha, Leporidae.
GCUUAGUGACCGGUGUCCAGCGCAGGGGCCACUGCAGACUGAGGGCCGAGGCUGACCUCGGAGGGAAGCAGCGCAGAGAACUACGAAUGCCCUAAAGCAGGGUCCUGCCCGCGCUGACCGGCCGCCGCCUCAGCUGCUUUCGGCUGGAACCUCUUGCCGCCUUCGUACGUUAAGCCAUGGCUUAUUUAAGAACACGGCGUUUAACUUCCAAAUGUUUUCUCUCGUCCGCUUACACUUGGUGGAUGACCGGGCUCACGCCGGGCACUCGGCUGUGUGUCGCCCACGUCCUGUGAGAUUUUGUGCUGUUGCCACGCUGCCUUUGCUGCUGCAUCCCUUGUGUUUCACGGGCUGCGUGACCCACUGAGCGUCCUUCAAGGCACCUGGCUCUCCUCCGCCAACUCUACUGCGCAGGCACACUUUCUGGCUGCAGAACUUCUAUCUGGCUCUUCAAAAACACAGAUUUCUACUUCUUCAUGACGUUCUCCCUGGCGAGGGGUACGAGCUCUUUGGACGAGUGAUGGCCGCUCUCAGGGACGCCUGUGUGGGGCCUUCUCACAGCUUGUUCAGAACGGGACAGCACACGCGGCGUCUGCACUGGGACCGACCCUCCUCAGCAGACAGCCGCCGCCGCCGCUGGUCUCCUGGCUCCCGGCUCCCCGCAGGGUGUGACCACCACGCUCCUCUUGCUGGGGCUCACCCUGGCUGGUCGGGCUUCGUGGCCCCUAAUUACCAGCCGAAGGCUGCCUUACCUGCUGGAGCUGGGCGGGGAGCCCCCACGUUCCUUCAGGGAAGCCCGUGUGUCCCGGCCCGCUGGCCCUCGGCUGGUGUUGUAGGGUCUCAAGGUCAGCCAGAGGUGACUGACAGGGCCUCUUGUCCAGUCCUCAGCGGGAGCACUGCGUGUGGCCCAAUCCCAGCUGCACUGAGGGCGGGGUCUUGGUGGAGCGGCUGCAGGGGCGUGGCGGGCAGGGGGCUGGGUCCACUGCGCGUCACAGAGCAGCUCCCCUCUGCCUGCCGUCCGUCUGGUCACUCUCCACAUUCCAACUGGGCUGGUUUGGUGAUUUCCCUGUGUUUCUGCUGCUUUCUGGGUGGUUCUCCCCCACAGUGGGCCCCAGAGUGCCCCUGGGGGGAGAACUGUUCAUCAGCGGAGCCGCGACGCGGCUGCCACGGCACUGUGGAAUGGAGCCGCAGGCCAGGCGGGGGUCCUGGCUGACCUUGGCAUCAACGUCCUUCUGUGGAAGCCGAUGCUGUGCGGGCAGAUUGGCCUGGCCACGGGAUUUUCCAGGGGUUGAAUGUGGAAACGAGACAUCGCACGUCAAAGCCACUUUGGGAAGCGGCCGCGUCAGCUGCUAACUGCUGCUCCCACUGGGUUCUCGGCUGCCGGCACGGAUGUGUCAGGCUGCACUGGGCACAGCUUUCCCACCA